RNAcentral lists this transfer RNA (70 nucleotides) under Proechimys goeldii hyleae. RNAcentral describes it as "tRNA-Ala". It matches the Rfam family "tRNA". From Rfam's summary of the family: Transfer RNA (tRNA) molecules are approximately 80 nucleotides in length. The record is from RNAcentral. Lineage: Eukaryota; Metazoa; Chordata; Mammalia; Rodentia; Echimyidae.
AAGGGUUUAGCUUAAUUAAAGUAUUUGUUUUGCAUACAAAUGAUGUAGGUUUAUGAACUUGCAAUCCUUA